AUUCCCUAGUAACGGCGAGUGAAGCGGGAUGAGCUCAAAUUUAAAAUCUGGCUGGUUUACCAGUCCGAGUUGUAGUUUAAAGAAGCGUUUUCGGUGGCAGGCCGGGUAUAAAUCCUUUGGAACAGGGUAUCAUAGAGGGUGAGAAUCCCGUCUUUGACUCGGCUGAUGUUACUAUGUGAUACGUUUUCAAAGAGUCGAGUUGUUUGGGAAUGCAGCUCAAAAUGGGUGGUAAAUUUCAUCUAAGGCUAAAUAUUGGCGAGAGACCGAUAGCGAACAAGUACCGUGAGGGAAAGAUGAAAAGAACUUUGAAAAGAGAGUUAAACAGUGCGUGAAAUUGUUGAAAGGGAAACGUUUGACACCAGCUAUGUAGGCGGAAAAUCAGUCAAGCGCAGUGAGGGGCUGGUGUUUGUCCGGACCGCAAGGCCGGCGGAUAUCUCAUCUUUGCUGUGGGUGAUGCACUUUUUCGUUCGCAGGUCAACAUCAGUUUCGCUUGCUGGACAAAACCCCGAGAGAAGGUAGCAGCUUAGGCUGUGUUAUAGCUCUGGGGCGAUACAGUGGGUGGGACUGAGGAUUCGCAGUGUGUGCUCUCGGGCAAGGCUGACUGGGUGCUCUGGGGUUGUUUGGCGUACAAUGCUUGCAUUUUGCGUCUUGUCUUCUUCAGACUCGCUUAGUUCGGCUCUUCCACGCUUAGGAUGUUGACUUAAUGGUUUUAAACGACCCGUCUUGAAACACGGACCAAGGAGUCUAACAUGCAUGCAAGUGUUUGGGUGGCAAACCCAUGCGCGUAAUGAAAGUGAACGUAGGUGCGAUCCGCAAGGUGCAGCAUCGACCGAUCUUGAUAUUUUUGGAUAGAUUUGAGUAAGAGCAUGUAUGCUGGGACCCGAAAGAUGGUGAACUAUGCCUGAAUAGGGUGAAGCCAGAGGAAACUCUGGUGGAGGCUCGUAGCGAUUCUGACGUGCAAAUCGAUCGUCAAAUUGGGUAUAGGGCGAAAGACUAAUCGA
Molecule: ribosomal RNA, 1001 nt
Filed under: Dissophora globulifera
Lineage: Eukaryota; Fungi; Mortierellomycota; Mortierellomycetes; Mortierellales; Mortierellaceae
Description: LSU rRNA
Rfam family: Eukaryotic large subunit ribosomal RNA
Source: RNAcentral